Molecule: transfer RNA, 72 nt
Organism: Vittaforma corneae ATCC 50505
Lineage: Eukaryota; Fungi; Microsporidia; Nosematidae
Rfam family: tRNA
About the family: Transfer RNA (tRNA) molecules are approximately 80 nucleotides in length.
Source: Rfam
GCGAGAUUAGCUCAGUGGAAGAGCACCAGACUGAAGAUCUGUAGGUCCUGGGUUCGACUCCCAGAUCUCGCA